GGGGAAUAUUGGACAAUGGGCGCAAGCCUGAUCCAGCAAUGCCGCGUGUGUGAAGAAGGCCUUCGGGUUGUAAAGCACUUUUAUCAGGAACGAAAAGCGUUGGAUUAAUACUCUGACGUGCUGACGGUACCUGAGGAAUAAGCACCGGCUAACUUCGUGCCAGCAGCCGCGGUAAUACGAAGGGUGCAAGCGUUAAUCGGAAUUACUGGGCGUAAAGCGUGCGUAGAUGGUUCGCUAAGUCGGAUGUGAAAGCCCCGGGCUCAACCUGGGAACUGCAUCCGAUACUGGCGGACUAGAGUGUGAUAGAGGAUGGCGGAAUUCCCGGUGUAGCGGUGAAAUGCGUAGAGAUCGGGAGGAACAUCCGUGGCGAAGGCGGCCAUCUGGAUCAACACUGACGUUGAGGCACGAAAGCGUGGGGAGCAAAC
RNAcentral lists this ribosomal RNA (425 nucleotides) under uncultured bacterium. Its description in RNAcentral is "bacterial SSU rRNA". It matches the Rfam family "Bacterial small subunit ribosomal RNA", at positions 356 to 773 of the family's 1533-position model. The record is from RNAcentral.